UUUAUGUGUGUGGAUGUUUUG
This 21-nucleotide non-coding RNA is filed under the name Rattus norvegicus (Norway rat). The record is from RNAcentral. Lineage: Eukaryota; Metazoa; Chordata; Mammalia; Rodentia; Muridae.